AUUGAACGYUGGCGGCAUGCCUUACACAUGCAAGUCGAACGGUAACAGCUCUUCGGAGGCUGACGAGUGGCGAACGGGUGAGUAAUACAUCGGAACGUGCCCGGUCGUGGGGGAUAACGGAGCGAAAGCCUUGCUAAUACCGCAUACGAUCUACGGAUGAAAGCAGGGGACCCUCGGGCCUUGCGCGAACGGAGCGGCCGAUGGCAGAUUAGGUAGUUGGUGGGAUAAAAGCUUACCAAGCCGACGAUCUGUAGCUGGUCUGAGAGGACGACCAGCCACACUGGGACUGAGACACGGCCCAGACUCCUACGGGAGGCAGCAGUGGGGAAUUUUGGACAAUGGGCGAAAGCCUGAUCCAGCAAUGCCGCGUGCAGGAUGAAGGCUUCGGGUUGUAAACUGCUUUUGUACGGAACGAAAAGUCUCGGGAUAAUACCCUGGGACCAUGACGGUACCGUAAGAAUAAGCACCGGCUAACUACGUGC
RNAcentral lists this ribosomal RNA (482 nucleotides) under uncultured beta proteobacterium. RNAcentral describes it as "bacterial SSU rRNA". It matches the Rfam family "Bacterial small subunit ribosomal RNA", at positions 30 to 508 of the family's 1533-position model. The record is from RNAcentral. Lineage: Bacteria; Pseudomonadati; Pseudomonadota; Betaproteobacteria.